This 1235-nucleotide ribosomal RNA is filed under the name metagenome. Its description in RNAcentral is "bacterial LSU rRNA". It matches the Rfam family "Bacterial large subunit ribosomal RNA", at positions 1564 to 2808 of the family's 2925-position model. The record is from RNAcentral.
UGAAUACGAGAUGCUACGGCGUCGAAGCAGUGUAUGUCAGACUUCCAAGAAAAGCUCGCAAUGUCAUAAAUAAAGAAUGCCUGUACCAUAACCGACACAGGUGGGUAGGUAGAGUAUACUAAGGGGCGCGAGAUAACUCUCUCUAAGGAACUCGGCAAAAUAACUCCGUAACUUCGGGAGAAGGAGUGCCUUCUUUAAGAAGGUUGCAAUAACAAGAUCCAAGCAACUGUUUAUCAAAAACACAGGUCUCCGCUAAGUCGUAAGACGAUGUAUGGGGGCUGACGCCUGCCCAGUGCCAGAAGGUUAAAGAAGUUGGUUAGCUUUUGCGAAGCUGAUGACUGAAGCCCUGGUGAACGGCGGCCGUAACGAUAACGGUCCUAAGGUAGCGAAAUUCCUUGUCGGGUAAGUUCCGACCCGCACGAAAGGCGUAAUGAUUUGGAUACUGUCUCGGAGAGGGACUCGGUGAAAUAGACUUGUCUGUGAAGAUGCGGACUACCUGCACCAGGACAGAAAGACCCUAUGAAGCUUUACUGUAACUUGAAAUUGAAAUUGGACUUUAUUUGCGCAGUAUAGGUGGAAGGCGUUGAAAGUAAUCUUGCGGGAUUAGUGGAGCCAUCAGUGAGAUACCACUCCUAUAAUGUUAGAUUUCUAACUUUGGAUCAUGAUCUGGUCAAAGAACAGUUUCAGGCGGGCAGUUUGACUGGGGCGGUCGCCUCCCAAAUGGUAACGGAGGCGUACAAAGGUUUCCUCUGAACGGGUAGAAAUCGUAUCUAGAGUGUAAAGGCAUAAGGAAGCUUGACUGUGAGACCUACAAGUCGAGCAGGGACGAAAGUCGGUCUUAGUGAUCUGACGGUGCUGAGUGGAAAGGCCGUCACUCAACGGAUAAAAGUUACUCUAGGAUAACAGGCUGAUCUCCCCCAAGAGUUCACAUCGACGGGGAGGUUUGGCACCUUGAUGUCGACUCAUCGCAUCCUGGGGCGGUAGUACGUCCCAAGGGUUGGGCUGUUCGCCCAUGAAAGCGGUACGCGAGCUGGGUUCAGAACGUCGUGAGACAGUUCGGUCCAUAUCCGGUGUAGGCGUUAGAAUAUUGAGAGGAGCCUUCUUUAGUACGAGAGGACCGAGAAGGACAUACCUCUGGUGUACCAGUUAUCGUGCCAACGGUAAACGCUGGGUAGCUAUGUAUGGAGAGGAUAACCGCUGAAAGCAUCUAAGUGGGAAGCCCACCUCAAGAUGAG